ACUCCUACGGGAGGCAGCAGUGGGAAUAUUGGACAAUGGGCGAAAGCCUGAUCCAGCCAUGCCGCGUGUGUGAAGAAGGCCCUCGGGUUGUAAAGCACUUUCAGUGAGGAAGAACGCUUGUGGGCUAAUACCCUGCAAGGAAGACAUCACUCACAGAAGAAGCACCGGCUAACUCCGUGCCAGCAGCCGCGGUAAUACGGAGGGUGCGAGCGUUAAUCGGAAUUACUGGGCGUAAAGCGCAUGCAGGCGGCCUGUUAAGUCAGAUGUGAAAGCCCGGGGCUUAACCUCGGAAUUGCAUUUGAAACUGGCAGGCUAGAGUCUUGUAGAGGGGGUGAGAAUUGAUCAGGUGUAGCGGUGAAAUGCGUAGAGAUCUGAAGG
Molecule: ribosomal RNA, 378 nt
Filed under: uncultured bacterium
Lineage: Bacteria
Description: bacterial SSU rRNA
Rfam family: Bacterial small subunit ribosomal RNA
Source: RNAcentral